RNAcentral lists this ribosomal RNA (482 nucleotides) under uncultured bacterium. RNAcentral's name for it is "partial 16S ribosomal RNA". It matches the Rfam family "Bacterial small subunit ribosomal RNA", at positions 30 to 507 of the family's 1533-position model. The record is from RNAcentral.
AUUGAACGCUGGCGGCAUGCUUUACACAUGCAAGUCGAACGGUAACAGGCCGCAAGGUGCUGACGAGUGGCGAACGGGUGAGUAAUGCAUCGGAACGUGCCCAGUCGUGGGGGAUAACUACUCGAAAGAGUAGCUAAUACCGCAUACGAUCUAUGGAUGAAAGCGGGGGACCGUAAGGCCUCGCGCGAUUGGAGCGGCCGAUGUCAGAUUAGGUAGUUGGUGGGGUAAAGGCUCACCAAGCCAACGAUCUGUAGCUGGUCUGAGAGGACGACCAGCCACACUGGGACUGAGACACGGCCCAGACUCCUACGGGAGGCAGCAGUGGGGAAUUUUGGACAAUGGGCGCAAGCCUGAUCCAGCAAUGCCGCGUGCAGGAAGAAGGCCUCCGGGUUGUAAACUGCUUUUGUACGGAACGAAACGGCUCUGGUUAAUACCCGGGGCUAAUGACGGUACCGUAAGAAUAAGCACCGGCUAACUACGUG